This 16318-nucleotide long non-coding RNA is filed under the name Malus domestica (apple). RNAcentral's name for it is "long non-coding RNA (MDOM_LNC009662)". Lineage: Eukaryota; Viridiplantae; Streptophyta; Magnoliopsida; Rosales; Rosaceae. The record is from RNAcentral.
CCCACCACCGAUCCAUUCACCACCACCACCAGUCCACUCACUCCCACCAUCACUAGUCCACUCACAUUCACCGCCAGUGCACUCGCCUCUACCACCAAUUCACUCACCCCCACCACCGGUUCAUUCACCUCCACCAUCAGUGCACUCGCCUCCACCACUAGUCCAUUCUCCUUCCCCACCAGCGCACUCGCCUCUACCACCCGUUCAUUCCCCUCCACCACUAGUGCACUCACCCCCACCACCAGUCCAUUUUCCUCCACCACCGCCAGUGCACUCGCCUCCACCACCAAUUCACUCACCUUCACCACUGGUCCAUUCACCUCCACCACCGGUGCGCUCGCCUCCACUACUAAUCCAUUCUCUUCCACCGCCAGCGUACUCACCUCCACCACCCGUUCACUCCCCUCCACCACCAGUGCACUCACCCCAACCACCAGUUCAUUCUCAUCCACCACCUGUCCAUUCUCUUCCACCACCAAUGCAUUCACCCCCACCACCCGUCCAUUCCCCCCCACCACCCGUCCACUCCCCUCCACCACUAGUGCACUCACCUCCACCACCAGUGCACUUACCCCCACCACCAGUCCAUUUUCCUCCACCACCAGUGCACUCACCCCCACCACCAAUCUACUCACCUCCACCACCUGUCCAUUCUCCUCCGCUACCAGUGCACUCACCCCCACCACCAGCACCAGUUCACUCACCGCCACCUCUAGUCCAAUCACCACCACCAGCUUCUCCAUCUUUAUCACCUCCUGUUCCCAUUUUCUCACCACCCCCUCCAGACUUCGUCUUGCCAUCGACCUUCGGGUUCCAAUACUCAUCUCCACCUCCGCCAAUGUUCCCAGGCUACUAAGCGCACUACGAUAUCAAACUCAUUGCUCGCCCCUGCAUGAAACUUUGUUUAUAAAUAUUUACAAUCUCACAAAAAUACACCCACUUUUGUUAGUUGACCAUAGCUUUUAAUUCAUGACAUCAAAGUGUAAAUCUUUUCAUAUGCUAUUCAAUGCAAUAAAAGGACGUUAUCGGCAAAUUGCAUAUCCAUUUUUUUUUCUUUUGUUUAAUUUGAAGAAUCUGAUGUGUGUGAAUGCAUACUACUACAAAAGAUCAAGCACCACUACAUCUAAUUCUAGGGUAAUUCUAGAGAGAUCAUAGUCUUCCUUGCAGUUUCCAUAAUUCUAUUAUAUUACCUUAUAACGUUGAUUAGUUUUCUAGACCGUCGUAAAAUGAGUGUUAGCUCACAUUUAAAAAAAAAUGUGAGUUUCUUCAAGAUCUUUUGUGUUCGUUUUAAAAGAAAAAUUUAUAAGCUACCAUUUAACUCUUAAUUAGGGGGUUUUAAGUUUGGAAACAAAAUACAAUAAAAUACUAGCUAUCGGGGCCUAUAUUGAUUUUUGACAGCUAUAAUGGAUUUUUGGCGGCCAAAACAUCUCUGUAAUAUCUUACAUGAAUUUAAAGAAGUUUUAUAGUGAAGUGUUAAUGCCAGAAAAUAGGUUUUAUGAUGGUGUUUGUGAAACUUUUGCAAAAACAAUUGAAACAUGAUGAGUUACACCUCACAAUUCUUGUAAGGCAUAAUUUGAUAUAUGUCCAUUUUUGUAAAGUUCUUAUUAGGAGUAGUUCAAUUUUGUGUAGGGUGGUGCUCUUCACACAUCAUUUUUUUUUUAGAGUAAAUUGUACAAAUGGUCCCUCAACUUUAAUUAAAUUGGAGCAAUGGUCCCUCAACUAAAAAUCCAUUACCUUUGGUCCCUCAACUUAUCAAAACGUGCAGCUAUGAUCCCUCAACUAAAAAUCCAUUACCAUUGGUCCCUGAACUUUAAUUCAAGUGGAGAAAUGGUCCUUUAACUUUAACCCAAUUGUAGCAAUGGUCCUUUCAAUAUAACUCGUUUUGACAAAUUUUUUGACAUAGUUGACGAAAAGAACCAUAAUUAUACACUUUGAUGAGUUAAGGGACCCUAAUUAUAUAAAUGAUCAUUCCAACAUAGCUUAUUUUGACAAAAUUUUGACAAAAUUGAUGAAAAGGACUAUAGCUACACAUUUUGAUAAGUUGAGGGACCAAUGGUAAUGGAUUUUUAGUUGAGGGACCAUUGCUCCAAUUUGAUUAAAGUUGAGGGACCAUUUGUACAAUUUACUCUUUUUUUUAUCUUCCACUCACAUUCUAUAAUUUUUGCCUUUUGAUCAUUUUUAAUUCAUUUGAUCCGACGGUAUUGAGACGAGCAUGUAGAAGGUAAAAGGGUGUGUGGAUAACAUUAGGGCCGUCUUUGAGAUUCCCUAUGCGAAAUUUAUAAAAGGACUCCUCGUUAAGAUAGUUACAAAAAAGUAAGACAAUAUAUUGAUGCUAAAAAACAAUCACUUAAAUCAAAACAAAAUUUAUCACUCACGGAUUGCAAGUUUACAAAUGUCAUUAAUUAUAAGUAAAAAAGCUACAAACAUAACCUUCAUUAAAUAAUAAUAAAAAUUCAAUCUUAAACAACCAAACAUGAAAAAAAUGAAAAAUGAAAAUAAAAAAUAAAAAAAUUCAAAACUCUAACUUUAAAGUUUCACUUGAAUAUUCUCUAUAAUAAAAUUGAAAAAAAAAAUAUCGUUUUUAGGAUGUUAUUAUUAACACUCAAAAUAUCUCAUUGUACUCCAAAUUUUUAUAUUUAAAAAGGAAAAAAAUUAUUCUUAUAAGGGUUCAAAUAUAGAACAUUAUUACAUAAUAUUAGAUGGCAAAAUUUUAGGACCCCUUCAAAUUUGGGGCCUUGUGCCCCCUCUAGACAAGACCACCCUGUUGUGUUAUUGUUGAAUUAUGUCUAAUGACAGAGACUCCAUGUAAGCAUUUUUUUUUGUAACAAAUUUAUCCCUUAAGUAAUUAGUAUUAUUCUAUAAUGUUAGUACCAAAUUCACGCAUCACUAUGUGUGGAGAAGAUGCACAAACUUGACUGCUUGUAAAAGAGUAAACGCAAGUAAGACAACAUUGGCACCAUUGGGGUACACCGACCAAAAAUUAAGUAUCAUUUGAGUUUUUGUUACGUUUCAUACCUCAGUCAUAAAUGAAAUAUAUUCAUCUACUUAUACCACAUUUGUUUUUAAUCUACCUCUAUCACAGGUUCUUUUUGCUAGGUUUUUGUGUUUGCCCUAUAACGUUUAUAAGUAUGUCAUACUUUAACCCUAAAAUGAAGGUAUCAUAUAUGCUUCCAUCGUUUUCUCAACCUCUGUGAUAUUAUUAUGGUUUUAUAGGUAUACACAACAUAUGAUUUUUUUUAAAACUAUUUUAUUUUAUUUUAUUUAAUAAAAAAGUACUUUCGUAGAUAAUUGUAAGUUUGAAUAUAUAUAAAUAUUUAAAAACUUAUGUUACUGGUGCGUUAGUUAAGGAUUUUUUUUUUUUGCAGAUUAGUUAAGGAAUUUAAAUAUAUUCUUUGUUACCUCAAAGAGUGAAAUAGGCACAAAAACAAGAAAAUAUAAUUGAACUCACUUAAAAUUUAGCAUAUGAUUUUGGACCUCAAUCUAAAAACCCAUUUUCAUAAAAUAUGUGACAGUUAUAUUUUUGCAAGAUCUUCCCAGUAAGAAAAUUAAUAUAAAUUAUGUGGAAGCGGUCUUGCAAUUUACUGAAUCUCAUAAGUGUUGUAAUUUAAGUUGGAAAACACAAAAAAUAAAUAAACUAGCAAGGCCUAAAAUACAUUUCGGAAGCCAGAACGGUUUUUUGGUCGCUAAAAUAUCUUUGGAAUGCCCUGUAAGAAUUAUAACGGAGCUUAUAGUGCAACAAAAAUGGCACGGAAAUUGAUUAUAUUGUAGAACUUUGCAAAAUCAUUAAAACUUAGGAUUAUAACUCACAAUAUUGUUAAAAAUACGAUUGUUGAGUACUUGAGUUUUAGCAUCGUUUUUGCACGCACAUCACAAAAAAUGUUAGGUAACGGGCCUACCAUUUGGUGACUCUUAUAAGUGAUUUUUAUAGCAUUUUAUGAUGGAGAAAUGGAAAAAUCUAUAAUAAAAUAGGAAUGAGGAUCCUCUUUGGAUCCUCUUUGUGAGGAUCCCGGGGAUCUUCCAAUUACGUCCAUUCAUCGUAUAUUGUAUAAUUAUUUUUCGUCAGGUACUAUUUAUAUUCAAUUUUAAAUAAAAAAAUUUACAAUGAUUUCUAACUGCACGAUGUAAAGAAAUGAUUGGAGGAUCCUCAUUCAUAAAAUAGUGGGAUUUAGAGCACAUAAAUAUCCGACAUCAAUUAAAAAAUUUCAACGGCAAAUGUGUAAUGUUCUGCUGACACACCCCGUCCCGAAGGAGGGCAUGCUGGCCGUCACGUGAGAGUGACGUAACCAUUUGCACAGUACGGAAGCUUUAAGAUACAAUUUAUAAGUUGAUACACCCGAAGGUGAGUCCUAAUUUUGUCCAAUCUGUCAGAACACCGUCGAAUUCCUCGUAGUCACCACACCUUUGUGAUUCCUGAACCUGGAGGGGCGCAAAACCAAAAUUGAGUGGGUCAGUAAAACAAUUCUUUUCCAAAUCCAAACAUUUCUCAAAACGUUGUAACCCCUCUUCGUAAAACCUGUAUACUUUCCCAGAAAUGUAAAAUAUAAAUAUACAUAUAUAUUCUCAAUACUUCAAUUCAUUAACUCAACAUUUUUCAGUACAAAUAUGCCAUGCCAUGUCGGAAUUCAACAGUUAAUUAUGGAUGCAUCAACAAUAAUCAUAUCAGGUGUAAGAAAGUGAUCAACCGGAGGCCCUCUAAUAGCCCUGUACGGUUGAACCUAGAGCUCAAAAUCUAUCACUAUCACUCUGCCGGAGUCACCUCUGUGACCUGUACGGCCUUCUGCACAUAAGUUACGCUCUAGUGCUUUCUCAUUAAUCAUCUGUGCACAUAAUCUAAGGUCACCCACCAGUCGAAAUCUCACUAACACUCUUCGACUGGCCCGUCGCACCCACUCCGCGUGGACUGUGCGACCAGCAUCUACUUGGAUCCAAGGCGAGCGUGCGAUGCGGUGAAUACUAUAAGCACUAAACUAUGGUGCAGGAUUUGAGCUCAAUAUACAUCAACAUCAUCAUAUCAGUAUUUAAAUACUCACCUGAUACUCACCUGUGCGUCCGCCGCACCAUUCAUUCAUAUGCAUCAUAUCUCAAUUCAUACUUUUCAUAUCAUUUCAUGCAUGGCAAUUCGAUUCACAUUUCUAUAUACUAUGCAUAUACUUUUAUGCAUGGCAUCUCAAUUCACAUUUCAAUAUACUUUUCAUAUAAUUUUAUACAUUGCAUUUAAAGCAUAAUUUCAUGCAUUUUCAAUUUCUGGGAAAACGGUAAGUAUAUAUGUAUACGGAAAACAAAACUGCCCACUCACCUGGAGUUCGCCCUACAACUCCCUAGCACAAUACGCCAAGCGUCAUGACGAUCGGCGCCUAAAACAAUAAUCAAUUCCAACCUCAGAAUUCAUAUCGAUAGAAUAUAUAACUUAUACAAAAUACGUCACUACGUAGUUCAAUCCGGAAGAUCCACCACUCAGAUUUUAAAUCCAUAACUUCCAGAGGUCCACAAUAUAUCUCUAGGAUAACUUCCUAAAAUUUCAUUACCAUCCAACGGUCGGAUCUCCGUCAAUUUCCAAAACUAAGUGACGGUUAACAUUUUAUUUUAUGAACUUACAACUCCAAUUCCGGAAGAUCCGUAACUCGGAUUCCCAAUCCGUAAGUUCCAAUAAUCCUCAAACAUUACGUAUUGCAACGUAUUAAAUUUUGGUAACGAUCCAACGGUCGGAUCAUCAAUUCACAUUUUCACCUAAUGCGAAAACUAUAAAACGUUAUUCGAACACCUAACCAACAAUCCUUAAUAACUUUCUCAUACGGUGCUCAAUUUGGGUAUAUGAAUAUACCACAGUGAUCUACUCGACGUCACGGACGUCGACAUAUUUUUAAAAUAAUAUUUUAAUGUAUCACGCGCCCCCACGCGCCAAGGAAGGCACGGGUCCACGCGCGCCCACGCGCACCUUCUUCCUCGCGGGUUCGCCGGACUGGUUUUUCCGGUGGCCGGAAAACUGGGGAAUUUUCAAAUGCUUCGUUCUCCUUCGUUUCUCAACCAUUUUCUUCGUAUAAUAUAUCAAUUUAAAGCCCUCAACAAGAAUCACAAUAUACUACUUUUAAGCUUCAAAAACAACUAAAUCUCACCGGAAAAAUCCAAGCAAAACCGGCCAAACUUAACCCUCGUGAUCCCGACGUCCAAAUCCUUCCAACGAAGCACUCCGAGCUUCCUUGGGACCUCACUAAGCUCGCUGUGAUCUUGUUUUAGCCUAAAUCGUAACCAUUUAAAAGAUCAUGAACAGUACAUAAACACGGGACCUUAAAAACUAGGGUUUUCCGAAGCAAAACUUACCUGAAAUGGAUACCAUCGUGAUCGUGAAGUCUUCAGGGUUCCAAUGGUGGUCUUAGAUUCGUCGUUGGUAUAGAUUUAGGGUGGUUUUGUGGUGGUCCGUGUGAGUUCGAAUGAGAGGGAGAGAGAACUGAGAGUUUCGUGAGGGAGGAGAGAGAGAGUGACAAGGUACGGGAAUUGGGGAAGGUUUUGAGGGAUGUGGGAUCCCCCCGUGUCCAACUCAAUCUCAAUUUCAAACUUUUAACAUAGAGUCUUGGUUUAGGUUUCUAAAACCAAUUAAUAUUCCAAUUCACCAAAGUUUAAGAACCUUAAGUAAAAACAAGUGUCCAAAUUACGUACUUUAGUCCCGUUUAGGGACAUUUUCGUAACUUCACGUCCUCGGAAUUAAAAAUUCCGGGACGGGCUGUGACAAUCUUCCCUCCUUAUAGAAUUUCGUCCCCGAAAUUCCAGCAAUCAACUAAAUCAACCAUACUCCAACAAUAGCCUCAAAUAAAUCUCUCUCAUCCGAUUCUCUUUCUCCCACAUAAUUUUCUACUGAAUGAUUUCCUUCACAAGCUUUUACCACUAUUCUGUCUUAAUUCUCAGGACCUUCUUUUUCCAAUCCCAAGUCGUCCAUAGCUCCUUACUAAUCAGAUCCGGCUUAAUUCUCAAUAGUUGCACCAAAGUCCCAUGUAACGACUCUGCCACUUAGUGACAACGCAUCGAACACAAAAUACAUUAUGUGCCUUAGCCAAUUCUGAAGGCAUCACAAACUUGUAUGCAACUUCGUCGAUUCCUUUAAUGAUCAAAACGGACUGAUGUGUUCAAGACUUAUCUUGUCUCCCUUUCUGAAUCUUACUAUUUCUGUUCAUGGUGAAAUUUCCAAAAAUAUCAAACCAUUUACCUUACACACUUGAUUAGUGGCAUAUCCAUCUGUUAAUCUCUUUUGUCAUUCCUGGCUACUUUCAGGUUAACUUACUCACCUGAAUAUUUUGAGGAGACUCAUCCAUAGUCUCAGGGCCCGCAAGAACUCUUUUGACAACUUCUGUCCAACACAAAGGUGUACUAUAAGGUAACUUGGUAACCAAGCUUCUUGUACGCUAUCCAAAACUUAGAAGUAACCAACAUACUCAAAAACUUAACAGUGUACAUCGUCAAAAUUGCUUUCUUUAAUUCCACAUAAUUUGGCACAUACGUCCCAUUCUCUUGCAUAAACAUACCAUCCAAUUCUGCCUCGGUUAAUUCUUGAAUUCCUUCGUCAAGCAUUUGAGUCUCGAGUACGACCUUACCAAAUAGGCCUAACUUGAAAUUUAACAAGUACAACUUCUUCUCGAUCUUCCAUUCUUAAUUUUUUUUUUCCGUUGGUUUUCAAUCCCCAAGAUGAUACUCUUGGCAAACAUGCCAGACAUUAAUCUUACUGUAGUCUUCUCACCAAGUGCUUCAGCUAGAACAAACUUUACGAUCACCCUGAUCGUACAAUCAUGUUCAUUAAGCAAUACAAGUCACAUUCGCUGCCUCAUAUCAAAAUCCUUCCGAGUAAUGAAUAUUGAAGACUUUUUGGAUUCGUAAAAAUCUUGCAUUCUUACCAAAUAUAAUGCCUUCAUAACUUCACAGCAAGAAUGGUAAUCAUGACUUCCAAGUCACCCGUAGGGUAAUUCAUCUCAUGAGAUUCCAUUUGUCAUGAAACGUAUGCAAUCACCCUAACAUUUGCAUCAACAUGCCUCCAAUACCAUUCAAGAAACAUCACUAAAAAUUUAUGAUUACCACUAUCUUCUAGGAAUACCAAAAUACGUGCAUGAGUGAGGAAAUACUUCAGUUGUUGAAUCCUUUGCUCACAAUUUCCUUCCCACUCAUACAUGACCUCUUUUCUCAACAGUCUCGUCAAUGACAAAGCAAUGACUGAAAAAUCUUUCACAACCAUCCAAGAUAGCCUGGUAAGCUAAGAAAUUCCAAAUCUCAAUUACGACUCGUGGUUGUUCCAAAUUUUAAUUUCUGUUACCUUUUAAGGUUUCACUUGAAUACCUUAAGAAUAUAUAACAUAUCCCAGAAAUGCUGCUUGAUUCAUCCAACAUUCGCAUUUGCUAAACUUAGCAUACAAUCGACAUUCUUCCAAUCUUUGUUCUACCGACUUAAUACGUUUACAUGCUCUGCUCUGGCUCAGAAUAUGCCAGAAUAUCUUCAAUGAAAAUGAUAUCUAUUUAUCAAGGCAUUAUUGGAAUACUUCAUCCAAUAAUUCAUAAAACAGCAUGAGUAUCCAUAUAGCAUCACCAAAUUUCAUAAAAACUAUAACGAGUCCAGAAAAACAAUCUUAGGAACAACGUUACUCAUAAUCUUCAAUUGAUAAUAAACAGACCUCAAGAUCCAUUUUCUUCCUCACCAACAAAUUGGGGCUCCUCAAAAGUGUUGUACUAGGUUGAAUAAAACUUUUAUCAACCAAUUCUCUCAACUGAAUUUCCAAUUCCCUUAACUCAUCAUGAACCAAUCUUUAACAUAAAUUUAUACCUGGCAACAAUUCAAUAGUGAACCUCAUAUCUCUGCCUGAAGGCAAUCCAGGUAUACUUUCAAGGAAGACAUCAAGAAAAGUCUAACUCUUUCGACAUUAUUCACACUACUCCAAACAACAUCAUUUAGCACCACAUGAGCUAAGUAUUUUUGACAGCCUUUCGAAAACAAUCUCUUUGCUCUCACAGCAUAAAUAAUGGCUGAACUCAAUCCACUUUGCAUACUUACAAAAGUAAUCUCUGGUCAUCCAGAUCGAUGGAAAGUACUGGUUUCCCUUAACAUUCCGUCUUGUCACAAUUAUAACCAACCAAUCUAAUGGAACAGAAUUAACUGAUACAAUACAUACUCUAUUACUACUAAGCAUUCUGAAUAAGUACAACACUAACAUAAAAUAACCUACCGGUUUGCUUGCUUAAUGAAUCCACGAAUGAGUUAUUAAUAUUACGGUCUGCAGCCCGCAAUACUGAUAAAUCAUCGUUGUCUCAAUAAGUAGGCAACCACUCUCAAAGAUAUAACAUUACUAAUUUGUCACUCAAUGCAAAAUACAUACACUCGUCUCAACUACAUUUAUUUACUACUCUUUAGGUAAUAACAUACAUAAUAAGAAAUAUAUCAGCCGAAGUCAACUAGAAUGACCAAUACGGCUGAUUCAACUCUUAUCUCAAUAAUACGUCGGCCGGAUCCACUCCGCGUGGUCGGUACGGCCGAGCCUAUAACUCACCAAUUUCUCAUGCGUCAGCCAGAUCCACCUCUCAUGGUCUGUACGGCUGAACAUAUAACUCAUCAAAUCUCUCUGUACCCACGGUCAAUCCGACCAAACUACUAAGUCCAUAAACCUGCUGAAUUGAUACUACGAUGUCAUAGAAAAUUGUUGGGUACAACUGAUUUUAGGGACGAUUCACAAUUCUGUGUCCCCUCUGUUCACAUAAACACAUUUAUUAAUUUCACACUUCCCAAAGUGUUAAUUUUUGUACCUGCUGCACAAGGUACAUUUCCUUUACUCGAAACACCUUGUCUCAAAUAUCUGGGAUUACCAGUAUAUCCAUCACUUUUACUCUGACCAGCGACAUUAAAACCUCAGCUGGAAGAAUUAAUUCUAGCUUCACUUCUUUCGAAGCUCUGAAUCUUUCUAUAUCCUUGAUAUGACGAAUCAUUAACUUUAUCGUCAACUUCCUUGAUUCACAUUUGCAAACUCUUGCUUACUACCAUCGAUAAAUGCCGGAGGGAUAAACUUUUCCUUAAACAAGUCCUUAAACAAUUCUCAAUCGACUAUUCCUCCGGUGACAACAAAUCAUACUCCUGUUUCCACCAGUAUACAAAUUCAUACCCAAAACCAGGUAGUCGUCUCGACCCCCUGUCAGAAGGAAGAUUCCUUUGACUUGCAUAAUCUGAAACAUCUUUUCCAAAUGGUUAAACCGUUACUUCGCUCCCUCAGGUUCAUCAUUUCAUAAGGUGAUUCAAAUUCGACUCAUAACCCGUCUUAAAAUGUCCCUUUAGACAAUAGACUGAAUCACCAUAGUAAUAGUUUCCCCCUAAACCGCUAAAUCAGGGAGACUAAGUUCCUCUAACUACGUGGCUUGCUACGAGGCGGUGUAGUUCUGACAGAAUUCACUAGAACUUCUCAAAAUGUCCAAGAUUGCAACCAUGCUCUGAUACCAACUGACACACCCCGUCCCGAAGGAGGGCAUGCUGGCCGUCACGUGAGAGUGACGUAACCAUUUGCACAGUACGGAAGCUUUAAGAUACAAUUUAUAAGUUGAUACACCCGAAGGUGAGUCCUAAUUUUGUCCAAUCUGUCAGAACACCGUCGAAUUCCUCGUAGUCACCACACCUUUGUGAUUCCUGAACCUGGAGGGGCGCAAAACCAAAAUUGAGUGGGUCAGUAAAACAAUUCUUUUCCAAAUCCAAACAUUUCUCAAAACGUUGUAACCCCUCUCCGUAAAACCUGUAUACUUUCCCAGAAAUGUAAAAUAUAAAUAUACAUAUAUAUUCUCAAUACUUCAAUUCAUUAACUCAACAUUUUUCAGUACAAAUAUGCCAUGCCAUGUCGGAAUUCAACAGUUAAUUAUGGAUGCAUCAACAAUAAUCAUAUCAGGUGUAAGAAAGUGAUCAACCGGAGGCCCUCUAAUAGCCCUGUACGGUUGAACCUAGAGCUCAAAAUCUAUCACUAUCACUCUGCCGGAGUCACCUCUGUGACCUGUACGGCCUUCUGCACAUAAGUUACGCUCUAGUGCUUUCUCAUUAAUCAUCUGUGCACAUAAUCUAAGGUCACCCACCAGUCGAAAUCUCACUAACACUCUUCGACUGGCCCGUCGCACCCACUCCGCGUGGACUGUGCGACCAGCAUCUACUUGGAUCCAAGGCGAGCGUGCGAUGCGGUGAAUACUAUAAGCACUAAACUAUGGUGCAGGAUUUGAGCUCAAUAUACAUCAACAUCAUCAUAUCAGUAUUUAAAUACUCACCUGAUACUCACCUGUGCGUCCGCCGCACCAUUCAUUCAUAUGCAUCAUAUCUCAAUUCAUACUUUUCAUAUCAUUUCAUGCAUGGCAAUUCGAUUCACAUUUCUAUAUACUAUGCAUAUACUUUUAUGCAUGGCAUCUCAAUUCACAUUUCAAUAUACUUUUCAUAUAAUUUUAUACAUUGCAUUUAAAGCAUAAUUUCAUGCAUUUUCAAUUUCUGGGAAAACGGUAAGUAUAGUAUAUAUGUAUACGGAAAAACAAAACUGCCCUCACUCCUGGAGUUUCGCCCUACAACUCCCUAGCACAAUACGCCAAAGCGUCAUGACGAUCGGCGCCUAAAACAAUAAUCAAUUCCAACCUCAGAAUUCAUAUCGAUAGAAUAUAUAACUUAUACAAAAUACGUCACUACGUAGUUCAAUCCGGAAGAUCCACCACUCAGAUUUUAAAUCCAUAACUUCCAGAGGUCCACAAUAUAUCUCUAGGAUAACUUCCUAAAAUUUCAUUACCAUCCAACGGUCGGAUCUCCGUCAAUUUCCAAAACUAAGUGACGGUUAACAUUUUAUUUUAUGAACUUACAACUCCAAUUCCGGAAGAUCCGUAACUCGGAUUCCCAAUCCGUAAGUUCCAAUAAUCCUCAAACAUUACGUAUUGCAACGUAUUAAAUUUUGGUAACGAUCCAACGGUCGGAUCAUCAAUUCACAUUUUCACCUAAUGCGAAAACUAUAAAACGUUAUUCGAACACCUAACCAACAAUCCUUAAUAACUUUCUCAUACGGUGCUCAAUUUGGGUAUAUGAAUAUACCACAGUGAUCUACUCGACGUCACGGACGUCGACAUAUUUUUAAAAUAAUAUUUUAAUGUAUCACGCGCCCCCACGCGCCAAGGAAGGCACGGGUCCACGCGCGCCCACGCGCACCUUCUUCCUCGCGGGUUCGCCGGACUGGUUUUUCCGGUGGCCGGAAAACUGGGGAAUUUUCAAAUGCUUCGUUCUCCUUCGUUUCUCAACCAUUUUCUUCGUAUAAUAUAUCAAUUUAAAGCCCUCAACAUGUAGAAUCACAAUAUACUACUUUUAAGCUUCAAAAACAACUAAAUCUCACCGGAAAAAUCCAAGCAAAACCGGCCAAACUUAACCCUCGUGAUCCCGACGUCCAAAUCCUUCCAACGAAGCACUCCGAGCUUCCUUGGGACCUCACUAAGCUCGCUGUGAUCUUGUUUUAGCCUAAAUCGUAACCAUUUAAAAGAUCAUGAACAGUACAUAAACACGGGACCUUAAAAACUAGGGUUUUCCGAAGCAAAACUUACCUGAAAUGGAUACCAUCGUGAUCGUGAAGUCUUCAGGGUUCCAAUGGUGGUCUUAGAUUCGUCGUUGGUAUAGAUUUAGGGUGGUUUUGUGGUGGUCCGUGUGAGUUCGAAUGAGAGGGAGAGAGAACUGAGAGUUUCGUGAGGGAGGAGAGAGAGAGUGACAAGGUACGGGAAUUGGGGAAGGUUUUGAGGGAUGUGGGAUCCCCCCGUGUCCAACUCAAUCUCAAUUUCAAACUUUUAACAUAGAGUCUUGGUUUAGGUUUCUAAAACCAAUUAAUAUUCCAAUUCACCAAAGUUUAAGAACCUUAAGUAAAAACAAGUGUCCAAAUUACGUACUUUAGUCCCGUUUAGGGACAUUUUCGUAACUUCACGUCCUCGGAAUUAAAAAUUCCGGGACGGGCUGUGACAUCUGCAUACGUUUUAUGAAGUUUUGUGCGGCGAAAAUGACACAAAAAUAGAAUUUUCUAGAAUUUAGGAAAACUGAGUAAAAUGAUGGGAGCAUUUUUGCUCACCACCAUAAACUAUGGUGUAUACUCACCACACACCCAAUCAAUUGACACUUGUUAUUUCACUUAAUCUUGGUUAAUUUUUUUCAAAAUUGAAAAAUUAACAUUUAAUGUGAAAGUUAACUAGAGUUAAGUGAAAUGACAUGUGUUAUUUCACUUAAUCUUGGUUAAUUUUUUUCAAAAUUGAAAAAUUAACAUUUAAUGUGAAAGUUAACUAGAGUUAAGUGAAAUGACACGUGUCAAUUGAUUAGAUGUAUGGUGAGCAUACACCGUAGUUUUAUGGUGGUGAGCAAAAAUGCUCCCGUAAAAUGAUAGCCUACAAUCUUUGUGAGCAAUGCGUUAUUGAGUUUUCAUAAGAUCUUUUGCCAAAUAUGCAAAAAAAAAAAAAAAAAAAAAAAAAAAAGUUAUAGGCCACUUGGAAACGGAUCUCCUGUAUAAAUGUGGAAUAAAUAAUGAUGUUAAAAAAAAUAAACUAAGUGAAUUUUUAUUGACAUGUAAGUAUUCCUCCAUCAUUUAUUGAUUAACACAUAUAAUGACAUUUAGCUCAAAGUGAAGAGCAAAAAUAUGCACUGAAUCAUUUUGUAAAGAAAAAGAAAACCAAGAAUAUGAAUGCCUUCGAAGCUGUUUUUGGUAUUUGUUGUUCUUGACAGGUACGAAUUGCAAUGCAUUUUUUGCUGCCUUGCUUAUGUUCUCUGCAUAGUAAUAAGUUAAUAACCAGUUCAUGAUAUUCUGUUGACUUACAUAAAAAGCACGGCCAAAAGUUCAGUGAUAUAUUUGGAUGAAAAUAGUUUGUUUUAAAAAAAUGUCUGUCCGGGGCUUGUAACUCCAGCUACUAAGAGUAUUUACCUUAAAAAUCGAAACAAAGUCGACUUUGAGGGCGUGCAAUAUGUGCGACUGCAUAGGACCCCGACUUUUUAGGGCCCUGAAUUUUAAUAACCUUUUGUGAAAGUAGUACAUGUUUAUAAGACGCGGGAAUAUUAAAUACAAUAGUGCUUAGCUGAGUUGUCAAGCUUCCAUUAUUUUCGAAUCCCUGCCUUCAUGUUUGUUAUUUUUGUUUUUAUUUUCCAAUUGUGGUAUUAUAGUGUGUUUACAUAAGAAGAGUGGAAUGAGAGAAAUGAGAAUUGCACUCAUUCCAAGUUAUUCAAGUGUUUAUUAACACUUGGGGUUUAGGGUUGUUUCUCUGUCUCUAUGGGCAACGACCAAUAUGAAAGAAGAAAAUGGAGAAAAGAGAUGGGAAAGCUGAAAAGAGUUGGGGGAUGGGGUGCAGCGCGGACUUCACGAGAAAGUAAAAAGAAUUGGGGGAUGGGGAAGAAAAAUCAGAAGGGAAGAAGAAGAAGAAUCAAGAGUGAAGAAUCAGAAGAAGAUGGGAAAAAGAGAUGGGAAAUCUGAAAAGAGUUGGGGGAUGGGGUGGGGGCUUUACCAGAAAGAAAAAGGAAUUGGGGGAUGGGGAAGAAGGCAUUACAGGUGAGGAUUAGUUUAGGUCUAGUUGUGGUAGAUGGAUUAGUUAAUUCAGUCCAACAAAAACACUAAAUAUACAGUGCCUAAUUUUAAAAAGCCAGAAAGGCAAUUACUCAAGUUUGCGAAUCCAACAGAGAAAUUAUUGCACAGCCUCUCAAACAAACCAAACCAAACUGACCCUCCCUCUCAAUAUAAUCUCCCUCGUUCACCAAUUUCUCCUCAUCAGCCAAAAUAUGAAGGCUGUCUACUUUCUACUUUCCUUUCUUCUCUUCUCUUCCUUCUCAUCAUUCUCUUCCGCUCUAACUGAUGCCGAAGUGUCCUCCAUUACUCGCCGUCAGCUCUUACAUUUUCACGAAGGCGAUGACCAACGCGAUGAAAAAGAAUAUGAGGUUGAGUUGAACGUAACUUUCCCUCACACCAGGCUUAGACGUGCAUACAUUGCACUCCAAGCUUGGAAAAAGGCAAUUUACUCAGACCCUCUUAAAACAACUGAGAAUUGGGUUGGUGGUGAUGUUUGUGCUUACACCGGAGUGUUUUGUGCCCCUGCACUUGAUGACCCGAAAAUAGAGGUUGUGGCCGGCAUUGAUAUCAACCAUGCAGACAUUGCAGGAUACCUUCCGGUUGAAUUAGGCCUGCUGAGUGACAUUGCAUUGUUCCACAUCAACACUAACAGGUUUUGUGGUGUCAUUCCCAAGAGCUUUGCUAGGUUAACUCUUCUCCACGAGCUUGAUGUUAGCAACAACCAAUUCGUGGGAUCGUUCCCUGAAGUUGUUCUCAAAAUUCCCAACCUCAAGUAUCUUGACCUCAGGUUUAAUGACUUCGAGGGAAAAUUGCCUCCUGAGCUUUUCAACAAGGAAUUGGAUGCUUUGUUCUUGAACAACAACAAGUUCACAUCCACCAUUCCUGACACACUUGGAAACUCCCCCGUCUCGGUUCUUGUGGUCUCCAACAAUCGUCUAGAAGGUUGCAUUCCUCACACCAUAGGAAAGAUGGUGAACACCUUGAAUGAGGUCAUCUUCUCUGAAAACAAGUUUGGUGGGUGUUUGCCUAAUGAAAUCGGAUACCUCUCAAAUGUGACGGUGUUUGAUGUUAGCUCAAACACAUUCAACGGGAUCAUGUCGAAAAAAUUCGAAGGCUUUCAAAAGGUGGAGGAGUUGAACAUUGCACAUAACAUGCUAACCGGGUUUGUUCCUGAGUGUUUAUGCAACUUGCCUAGCUUGGGAAAUUUCACAUUUUCCUACAACUACUUCAAUGGUGAGGCCAAAAAAUGUGUGCCGGUUUCUCAGAAGGGCGUUGUGUUUGAAGACACAAACAAUUGCUUGCCGGAUAGGCCUAAACAGAAGUCAGCAAAACAAUGUCAAGUUGUAGUGAGCAAGCCAGUGGAUUGUAGUAAGGCAAAGUGUGGAGGUGGAUCAGGACCUUCAAAACCUUCCCUUCCUACACCAAAACUGCAACCACCUAUUCACUCUGCACCACCACAUGUACAAAUGCCUUCAUUCCCUGCACCUUCAGGUCAAAGUCCAGUUGUUCCAAUUCACCCUAAGUCACCACCGGUUCAUUCACCACCACCACCACCAUUCCAUUCUCCUCCACCACCUAUAGCAACACCACCAUCACCCGCAUCUAUAGGGCAAAGUCCCGUUGUUCCAAUUCAACCUAAAUCACCCAUACCACUAAGGCAAACUCCUCCACCACCAUUAGUCAACUCAUCCCCACCACCAAUUUACUCUCCCCCACCACCAGUGCACUCACCCCCACCACCGGUCCACUCACCCCUACCACCAGUCCAUUCUCCAC